UCCACGCCCUAAACGAUGAACACUAGUCGUCGGGAUGCUAGUCAUCUCGGUGAUGCACUUAACAGAUUAAGUGUUCCGCCUGGGGAGUACGGUCGCAAGAUUAAAACUCAAAGGAAUAGACGGGGACCCGCACAAGUGGUGGAGCAUGUGGUUUAAUUCGAAGAUACGCGAAGAACCUUACCUAGCCUUGACAUUGAAGAAACACACUAGAGAUAGAGUGGUGCCCUUCGGGG
RNAcentral lists this ribosomal RNA (233 nucleotides) under uncultured bacterium. Its description in RNAcentral is "partial 16S ribosomal RNA". It matches the Rfam family "Bacterial small subunit ribosomal RNA", at positions 794 to 1025 of the family's 1533-position model. The record is from RNAcentral.